This 460-nucleotide ribosomal RNA is filed under the name uncultured bacterium. RNAcentral describes it as "partial 16S ribosomal RNA". It matches the Rfam family "Bacterial small subunit ribosomal RNA", at positions 338 to 795 of the family's 1533-position model. The record is from RNAcentral.
CCUACGGGAGGCAGCAGUGAGGAAUAUUGGUCAAUGGGCGUAAGCCUGAACCAGCCAUGCCGCGUGAAGGAUGAAGGCUCUAUGGAUUGUACACCUCUUUUAUACGGGAAUAAAGUGCGGGACGGGUCCCUUUUUGUAUGUACUUUAUGAAUAAGGAUCGGCUAACUCCGUGCCAGCAGCAGCGGUAAUACGGAGGAGUCGAGCGUUAUCCGGAUUUAUUGGGUUUAAAGGGUGCGUAGACGGGCUUUUAAGUCAGCGGUGAAAGUCUGUGGCUCAACCAUAGAAUUGCCGUUGAUACUGGGAGGCUUGAGUAUGGUUGAGGCAGGCGGAAUGCGUGGUGUAGCGGUGAAAUGCUUAGAUAGCACGCAGAACCCCGAUUGCGAAGGCAGCCUACCAAGCCAUGACUGACGCUGAUGCACGAAAGCGUGGGGAUCAAACAGGAUUAGAUACCCUGGUAGUC